RNAcentral lists this non-coding RNA (18 nucleotides) under Arabidopsis thaliana (thale cress). Lineage: Eukaryota; Viridiplantae; Streptophyta; Magnoliopsida; Brassicales; Brassicaceae. The record is from RNAcentral.
CCUACCAAUAACUUCAGC